RNAcentral lists this ribosomal RNA (604 nucleotides) under uncultured Verrucomicrobiota bacterium. RNAcentral's name for it is "bacterial SSU rRNA". It matches the Rfam family "Bacterial small subunit ribosomal RNA", at positions 74 to 680 of the family's 1533-position model. Lineage: Bacteria; Pseudomonadati; Verrucomicrobiota. The record is from RNAcentral.
UAGCAAUAUUGAUGAUGUUCAGUGGCGCAAGGGUGCGUAACACGUGAAUCAUCUGCCGAGAAGUGGGGGAUAGCUCGCCGAAAGGCGAAUUAAUACCGCAUAUUGUAUCACUACCAAAGCCGGGGCAACCUGGCGCUUUUCGAUGAGUUCGCGGCCUAUCAGCUAGUUGGCGGGGUAACGGCCCACCAAGGCUAUGACGGGUAGCUGGUCUGAGAGGACGACCAGCCACACUGGAACUGAAACACGGUCCAGACACCUACGGGUGGCAGCAGUCGAGAAUUUUUCUCAAUGGGGGAAACCCUGAAGGAGCGACGCCGCGUGGAGGAUGAAGGUCUUCGGAUUGUAAACUCCUGUCAUUAGUGAACAAAGUUCGCGUUUAACUAAUUGCGAAUAUGCUAGUAACUGAAGAGGAAGAGACGGCAAACUCUGUGCCAGCAGCCGCGGUAAUACAGAGGUCUCAAGCGUUGUUCGGAUUUAUUGGGCGUAAAGGGUGCGUAGGUGGUACCGAAAGUUAGGUGUGAAAGUUCGAGGCUCAACCUCGAAAUUGCACCUAAUACUCCGGUGCUCGAGUCUCAUAGAGGAAUCUGGAAUUCUCGGUGUAGCA